ACGUAGGAGACAAACGUUAUCCGGAGUUACUGGGCGUAAAGGGCGUGUAGGUGGUUGUGUAAGUUCGGCGUGAAAUCUCUCGGCUUAACCGGGAGUGGUCGUCGGAUACUGCACGACUAGAGGACGGUAGAGGCGUGUGGAAUUCCGGGUGUAGUGGUGAAAUGCGUAGAGAUCCGGAGGAACACCAGUGGCGAAGGCGACACGCUGGGCCGUACCUGACACUGAGGCGCGAUAGCAUGGGGAGCAAACAGG
RNAcentral lists this ribosomal RNA (252 nucleotides) under uncultured bacterium. RNAcentral's name for it is "partial 16S ribosomal RNA". It matches the Rfam family "Bacterial small subunit ribosomal RNA", at positions 525 to 776 of the family's 1533-position model. The record is from RNAcentral.